UACGAAGGGUGCUAGCGUUGUUCGGAAUCACUGGGCGUAAAGCGCACGUAGGCGGAUUUGUUAGUCAGGGGUGAAAUCCCGGGGCUCAACCUCGGAACUGCCUUUGAUACUGCAAGUCUCGAGUCCGAUAGAGGUGGGUGGAAUUCCUAGUGUAGAGGUGAAAUUCGUAGAUAUUAGGAAGAACACCGGUGGCGAAGGCGGCCCACUGGAUCGGUACUGACGCUGAGGUGCGAAAGCGUGGGGAGCAAACAGG
Molecule: ribosomal RNA, 253 nt
Filed under: uncultured bacterium
Lineage: Bacteria
Description: partial 16S ribosomal RNA
Rfam family: Bacterial small subunit ribosomal RNA
Source: RNAcentral